Molecule: ribosomal RNA, 620 nt
Filed under: Escherichia coli
Lineage: Bacteria; Pseudomonadati; Pseudomonadota; Gammaproteobacteria; Enterobacterales; Enterobacteriaceae
Description: partial 23S ribosomal RNA
Rfam family: Bacterial large subunit ribosomal RNA
Source: RNAcentral
GAAUGCUGACAUAAGUAACGAUAAAGCGGGUGAAAAGCCCGCUCGCCGGAAGACCAAGGGUUCCUGUCCAACGUUAAUCGGGGCAGGGUGAGUCGACCCCUAAGGCGAGGCCGAAAGGCGUAGUCGAUGGGAAACAGGUUAAUAUUCCUGUACUUGGUGUUACUGCGAAGGGGGGACGGAGAAGGCUAUGUUGGCCGGGCGACGGUUGUCCCGGUUUAAGCGUGUAGGCUGGUUUUCCAGGCAAAUCCGGAAAAUCAAGGCUGAGGCGUGAUGACGAGGCACUACGGUGCUGAAGCAACAAAUGCCCUGCUUCCAGGAAAAGCCUCUAAGCAUCAGGUAACAUCAAAUCGUACCCCAAACCGACACAGGUGGUCAGGUAGAGAAUACCAAGGCGCUUGAGAGAACUCGGGUGAAGGAACUAGGCAAAAUGGUGCCGUAACUUCGGGAGAAGGCACGCUGAUAUGUAGGUGAAGCGACUUGCUCGUGGAGCUGAAAUCAGUCGAAGAUACCAGCUGGCUGCAACUGUUUAUUAAAAACACAGCACUGUGCAAACACGAAAGUGGACGUAUACGGUGUGACGCCUGCCCGGUGCCGGAAGGUUAAUUGAUGGGGUUAGCGCA